This 449-nucleotide ribosomal RNA is filed under the name uncultured bacterium. RNAcentral describes it as "partial 16S ribosomal RNA". It matches the Rfam family "Bacterial small subunit ribosomal RNA", at positions 29 to 523 of the family's 1533-position model. The record is from RNAcentral.
AACGAACGCUGGCGGCAGGCCUAACACAUGCAAGUCGAGCGAGGACUUCGGUCCUAGCGGCGGACGGGUGAGUAACGCGUGGGAACGUGCCCUUUGCUACGGAAUAGCCCCGGGAAACUGGGAGUAAUACCGUAUGUGCCCUUCGGGGGAAAGAUUUAUCGGCAAAGGAUCGGCCCGCGUUGGAUUAGGUAGUUGGUGGGGUAAUGGCCUACCAAGCCGACGAUCCAUAGCUGGUUUGAGAGGAUGAUCAGCCACACUGGGACUGAGACACGGCCCAGACUCCUACGGGAGGCAGCAGUGGGGAAUCUUAGACAAUGGGGGAAACCCUGAUCUAGCCAUGCCGCGUGAGCGAUGAAGGCCUUAGGGUUGUAAAGCUCUUUCAGUGGGGAAGAUAAUGACGGUACCCACAGAAGAAGCCCCGGCUAACUCCGUGCCAGCAGCCGCCGUAA